UGCUUUUAGGUGCGGACAUACUGUCCCAAA
This 30-nucleotide small RNA is filed under the name Bombyx mori (domestic silkworm). RNAcentral's name for it is "ovarian small RNA-34355". The record is from RNAcentral. Lineage: Eukaryota; Metazoa; Arthropoda; Insecta; Lepidoptera; Bombycidae.